GGAAACACUGACCACAGAAGACAAGUUGAGAACUCCAGAUUCUUGGGUCUUUGGAGUCUGGGACUGACAUCAGCGGCCCCCCAGAUUCUCAGGCCUUUCAGCCUUGGACUCAGAAUUACACCAUCUGCUGAGCCACACUACUGGCUUCCCUGGCUUUCCAGUGUGCAGACAGCAUAUCGUGGGACUUCUCAGUCUUCAUAAUCAUCUGUAUAUUCUUUGAGAUACUUGAGAUCUUUCUGGUUCAUGCCCUCAUCUGGAAAAUGGAAAUAAUAACAUCUCUGCAUGGAGAUGACAAAGUGUGGGUACAAUGCCUACCACACUGUAGCUACUCAAGAAAUGGAAGUCACAAUCAUUCUCAUGCCACCAGCCUACUGAGCAGAUCAAUGUUCUGGUGAUGUUCUGCAUCCAGACCAUCUUUCAAGAACUGAAUGGUUACUACCCUGGGUCUUCUACCGAAAGAAAGAACAUGGGUGUGGGCAUUCAAGUAUAGCCUCUAAAAAAAGAACACAUAAGUGGUUGCUGGGUGCUGUUAUAUAAUCACACACAUACAAGGCUUAAAUCAUGAAUAUUUCCUUUUUGAAGGGGAAAAAAAGCAAAAAUCCAAUUGUGUAGAGUUUUAGGACAAGAAUAUUAUAUGAAGAAAAUAUAGCUCCAAGAGAUAGUGGCUGAAAGGGCAGAAUUAGAGAAGCAGAAGAAGCAAGAAGUUACCGCAAAGGCUUCCAAAAAUAAAAUAGGAUGAUACGCCCAAGAAAACAAAGGCUACUUUUGCUAAGUCAGGGGUGAGAGAAAAUAAUGAAAGAUGCAAAGAAGAAUGACUAUGGAGCUACUAUUUUGUCUCAGCCUUUAGCACAAAGAACGAAGGAAGCAGGAGCUCAGUAAGAUAAAUAUUAAUGAGUCUCUGGGAAUAUCAAGAAACAGAAUUAAUAAGAGGCAGGUAAAAGAAUACUUAUACAAUUUAAAUAUUUAUAAAUCAGUACAGCUGGGUGAGAUUCAUUUGAACAAAUUCAAAGAACCAGCUAAGGCAGGACAUACCUGCAAUACUAGUGUUUGUCAUAGAGAGUUAUGUACCAGGGAAAUUUAAGCAGGCUGAUUUAGUGUUGGAGCUAAAGCAGCCAAAAGCAGAUACAGGAAAAGGUGGGCUAGUUAGCGCAUCCAAACUACCAGUCAAAACUCUAAAUGAAAUCAUAAAUCAGUCCAUGAGCAUCUUCAGAAAAAUAACAUAGUAAGUCAUAGCCAAAGAGGUUCAUAAAAAACAGAGCCUGUCAAAGCAACUUAAUCCAUUUUUUGGAAAUGCUAAGAAAUUUGGAUUAUAGACAUAGUUUACAGAGGCCCUGCAGAUGCCACCAGACAACUCAAUUUGAACCCAUCUUGGUGAUGGAAUGGCUGUUACUCUCACUGUUUCCAACAGAGAAGGGCAAUUUCACCUGCACAUUUAAUACACAGGGAUAGGGUUCUCUGUUCAUUCCCCAUCAUAGCCCAGGACAGAGUUAAUUUAGUUCUUAGCUAAAUAGAGUCAGUGCCCAGAAGUAUCCAAAUGAGAAUGAAAUAUAUUGAUAAUUCUGUUAUCCAAAUGAGAGUGAAAGAUAAUGAUAAUUCUGGAGCAAACUGGACUAACAUCUUUCAGAAAAAACAAUAUAUAUAUGUGUAUGUGUAUGUCUGCAAUUAUCAGGAUAAUUCAAGGAAAACAAAUACUAUUGCUCGAAUUGAUCAUAUAAUUAUGGAAAAUAUAAGAAGAUGUGAAAACAAAGGCCCUCUUAUAAAAUACAAAGACCUGACCGGGUCACCAGGCUCUGCUGAAACUGUUCAAUGACUUCCCAGGGUUCUUAGGCCAGAACCCUCAGCCUCCUCUCAAGGCCUGCCUAGUCUGUCUGUGCUCUUCUCUGCAGCAUCACUGGCACCACACCCCUCCUUGCCCUGGGCAAGCCAGCUCCUCUGCCCUUCUUUCAGCUCUUGCAAGACUUCCUCUUGUUUUUGCCACUGAGCCUUUGCACAUGCUGCCCUUGCUUUUACUUACCCUAGCUACUUAUUCUAUAGUUUUCUACUCAAAUCCCACUUUGGGAGGUAAACCUUCUUUUACCUCCCAGAACAUAAUAUUUUCAUAGUAUUUGGCUCUAAUAAAACCAAUUUUCUUCCCAGAAGCACUUAUUUUAGAAUGUAAUUUUAUACUCAUUUAAAAAAAAGUUAGUGUAGUCCUCCUCCACUAGAUUACAAGCUCCACCAGAAAAG
RNAcentral lists this long non-coding RNA (2226 nucleotides) under Homo sapiens (human). RNAcentral describes it as "HSALNT0312054". Lineage: Eukaryota; Metazoa; Chordata; Mammalia; Primates; Hominidae. The record is from RNAcentral.